Molecule: ribosomal RNA, 372 nt
Filed under: uncultured bacterium
Lineage: Bacteria
Description: bacterial SSU rRNA
Rfam family: Bacterial small subunit ribosomal RNA
Source: RNAcentral
UACGGAGGAUGCGAGCGUUAUCCGGAUUCAUUGGGUUUAAAGGGUACGUAGGCGGCCUUGUAAGUCAGUGGUGAAAAUCUGUUGCUUAACGAUAGAGGUGCCAAUGAAACUGUAAGGCUUGAGUACAGAUGAGGUAUGCGGAAUGUGUAGUGUAGCGGUGAAAUGCAUAGAUAUUACACAGAACUCCGAUUGCGAAGGCAGCAUACUAAGUUGAGACUGACGCUGAAGUACGAAAGCGUGGGGAUCGAACAGGAUUAGAUACCCUGGUAGUCCACGCCGUAAACGAUGCUCACUAGCUGAAUGCGAUAUACCGUAUGCGGCCGAGCGAAAGCGUUAAGUGAGCCACCUGGGGAGUACGCCGGCAACGGUGAA